Carica papaya (papaya) is the source of this 1089-nucleotide non-coding RNA. The record is from RefSeq and is a predicted model, not a curated record. Lineage: Eukaryota; Viridiplantae; Streptophyta; Magnoliopsida; Brassicales; Caricaceae.
CCCCUUUGGCGCCAUGCUAAUUUGUACUGAAAUUUUUCUUUUGAAAAAAAAAAAAAUGCUUACUUAGUUCAAGUGGAAGAUCGUAAAAAUUAUUGCAAAAAUGAUAGGAAAAUGAAUUCAUGUGGAAGUUCACUUAAAAUCGGAAUUUACAUUACAAAUUCAUUCAAUUGAUAAAAUUUGGAAUCUAUUGUUCAAAUUUCAUGUGAGAUUUCAUAUUUUGUCAUCUUACUAUAAUUUACAACUUACAACCUCUCUUAACUAAACUAUGUAUGGAUUUGCAAAUGAAUAUCAUAACAUUUGCAGACUUGUUCCAAGCAUAACCUAAAAUUAUAAGGUAAUAGAGCGACAAAGAAAGCCCUGAUUCUUGGUUUCGUUUUUGUUUGGCAAAGUGCCCUUUCUUAUGGGUUAUUUUGUGUUUUCAUUAAUUGUAUGUUCCUUUCCAUUUUGUUUGAAUAAUAUUUCACAUUGAGAUAAAGGAAAACAACAUUUAGAGGUGAAGAUGCUAAAGAUUGGAGUGAAAAUUUUUGGGAACUUGUUAUUUAAAUGGAUUGCUUCUUGUGGGUGAUGCAUUGUUUGCCAAGAUAACUUGACAAGAAAUUUUUCUCAGAGGAGUUCCAUAAGUAUUUUCAUGUGAAUUGUCAGGAUGAACAUCUUCCAUACUACAGAAGAAAGGGAAUAUUUUCUUCAGCUUUAUACAAGGAUAAAAUCUACUCAACACAACCUGAGAGUUCCCUGAUUAAAGAACAUGGUGGAGAGAUUUACUGUUAUACAAGCCUUGUACAUGGAUACAUACCAGAAGAAUUGCUCCACAAGGGUUGUUGAUAUUUUCUUUUUGUUACAUGAUGAUAGUAGGAAAUUUAUCCUGUGCAGGAAAUUGAUUUUACUGCCAUAUUUUUUGUUUUAGAUACAUAUUUUUAUUCUUAGGAUUCAGGUAUACAUUUACUGUGGUGAGAAUUAGUGAAUACAUUGAUGAAGCAGAAUAUUCUUUGAACAUUCUUCAGUAAGUCCUGUUAAAUAAUCUUAAGAUUUCAUUGCAUAUUGUAGUGAUUUGGCAUAAUGUCAAUAAACAGCUAUCUAUGAGCAGUCUAA